RNAcentral lists this unclassified non-coding RNA (218 nucleotides) under root metagenome. RNAcentral's name for it is "partial contains small subunit ribosomal RNA, internal transcribed spacer 1, and 5.8S ribosomal RNA". The record is from RNAcentral.
UCUCCGUUGGUGAACCAGCGGAGGGAUCAUUACCGAGUUGACUACUCCCAAACCCCUGUGAACAUACCAUAACCGUUGCUUCGGCGGACCACCCCCGGCUAACCCCGGGGGCCCGCCAGAGGACCCAAACCCAACUGUAUUUUUGUUUUCUGUUACAACGUAUUCUGAGUGGAGUUUUAAAUAAAUCAAAACUUUCAACAACGGAUCUCUUGGCUCUG